RNAcentral lists this unclassified non-coding RNA (163 nucleotides) under uncultured Venturiaceae. RNAcentral describes it as "sequence contains ITS1". Lineage: Eukaryota; Fungi; Ascomycota; Dothideomycetes; Venturiales; Venturiaceae. The record is from RNAcentral.
CUGGGAAACAGGUUGGGCGCUUCGGCGCUCGCCCCCACCCUUUGCCUAGCCUCCGAUGACUAAAAACCCGUCGGCCUUUGGCGCGCCCGCUUGACAGCGGGUACGCCGGCCGGACAUCAAACCCUGAACAAUAUUGUAGCCUGAAGUAAAAAGCAAAUAGUUA